Molecule: ribosomal RNA, 320 nt
Filed under: uncultured eukaryote
Lineage: Eukaryota
Description: partial 18S ribosomal RNA
Rfam family: Eukaryotic small subunit ribosomal RNA
Source: RNAcentral
CCCCUAGAUGUUCUGGGCCGCACGCGCGCUACACUGAACAGUUCAACAAGUCUUAACCUUGGCCGAUAGGUCUGGGUAAUCUUUGAACGCUGUUCGUGAUUGGGAUAGACCUUUGCAAUUAUGGGUCUUCAACGAGGAAUUCCUAGUAAACGCAAGUCAUCAGCUUGCAUUGAUUACGUCCCUGCCCUUUGUACACACCGCCCGUCGCACCUACCGAUUGUAUGGUCCGGUGAAAUCUCGGGACGGCGGCUUGGUCGCUUGCGUCCGACUGCUGAAACUUGAUUAAACCAUAUCAUUUAGAGGAAGGUGAAGUCGUAACA